UGCCACGUAACCUGCCUGAGCCUAGGACUAGUAACUUGUUUUUAAAUUCGCCAGCAUCGGUGGCAAAUGGGUGUGAAAAUAUUGUAACUCAUUUGUAUGCCUUAUAAAUAGGUAUGCAACAAGCUGAAGCCACCCCACAUAAAUGUUAUGCACCGGUUUCCUGAGUAGGACCAACGGCGUGUACUUGCCCUGCACUUUAUAGAUUUCCCUGGUUUUCUUUAAGCAGCGAUCUUGGAGGAUGCAAGGUUAAACUAAAGGAGAAAUGACAUGGCAAUUCAUUAAAAAAGCUUGUGGCUAGUGCCUUAAAUAUGUACAUUAUUUGUGAAACCCAAAUCUUUGCGUGCUCUCUUAAAGUGUUGUCAAAACGAAACCAAACAAUCUUAAGAUCUGACAAGAGUGCGGUUCAGUAGGAAAUCAAUGGGAAGCCACUCGAGCAUUGAAUCUGUGGAACUACCGUUUAGCUGUUAUCGAAAAUAGUUCCCCGAAACAAACAUUAACUCGAAGUGGAACUGCAAAAUGUGCUGGAAAGGAGCAUCCCACUUGAAAAUGCAAAUGCAACGGGAAAUGACCGAAAGACUGAAGGACCACCCAAGUGCCCAUAGGUUGGUUAAGUUUAGUGGGGUAUACAAUAAACUUCUUAGUAAAAUGUGA
This is a long non-coding RNA of Drosophila novamexicana, 651 nucleotides long. RefSeq lists it as uncharacterized. The transcript is spliced from 3 exons. NCBI's taxonomy places the organism in Eukaryota, Metazoa, Arthropoda, Insecta, Diptera, Drosophilidae. The record is from RefSeq and is a predicted model, not a curated record.